GUUAAAACAACGAUUCCCGUACAAUCAACGAAGUUGAGCAAUGUCGGACCUGGUCAGUACUUCGAUGGGUGACCUCUUGGGAAUACCAGGUGCUAUA
Molecule: ribosomal RNA, 97 nt
Filed under: Acanthosepion pharaonis
Lineage: Eukaryota; Metazoa; Mollusca; Cephalopoda; Sepiida; Sepiidae
Source: RNAcentral